GAUGAACGCUGGCGGCGUGCCUAAUACAUGCAAGUCGAGCGAACGGACGAGAAGCUUGCUUCUCUGAUGUUAGCGGCGGACGGGUGAGUACACCUUGCAUACCCACCUAUUAAUCCGGGGGAAAUUUCGGAAAACGGCAUCAACUACCGCCUAAUAUUUUCAACGGAUGGUUUCAAAGGUAAAGAAGGUCUUGCCGGUACCUAUUAGCGGAUUCCCGCUGCAUUAGCUAGUUGGUAAGGUAACGGCUUACCAAGGCAACGAUGCAUAGCCGACCUGAGAGGGUGAUCGGCCACACUGGAACUGAGACACGGUCCAGACUCCUACGGGAGGCAGCAGUAGGGAAUCUUCCGCAAUGGGCGAAAGCCUGACGGAGCAACGCCGCGUGAGUGAUGAAGGUCUUCGGAUCGUAAAACUCUGUUAUUAGGGAAGAACAUAUGUGUAAGUAACUGUGCACAUCUUGACGGUACCUAAUCAGAAAGCCACGGCUAACUACGUG
This 496-nucleotide ribosomal RNA is filed under the name uncultured bacterium. RNAcentral describes it as "partial 16S ribosomal RNA". It matches the Rfam family "Bacterial small subunit ribosomal RNA", at positions 28 to 507 of the family's 1533-position model. The record is from RNAcentral.